This 21-nucleotide microRNA is filed under the name Selaginella moellendorffii. RNAcentral's name for it is "smo-miR1094b". The record is from miRBase by way of RNAcentral. Lineage: Eukaryota; Viridiplantae; Streptophyta; Lycopodiopsida; Selaginellales; Selaginellaceae.
UACUUCUCUGUUCCACAGUAC